GGGCCUGUAGCUCAGCUGGCUAGAGCGCUGCAUUCGCAUUGCAGAGGUCAGGAGUUCGAAUCUCCUCAGGUCCACCA
This 77-nucleotide transfer RNA is filed under the name Parcubacteria group bacterium CG2_30_48_51. RNAcentral describes it as "tRNA-Ala". It matches the Rfam family "tRNA". From Rfam's summary of the family: Transfer RNA (tRNA) molecules are approximately 80 nucleotides in length. The record is from RNAcentral. RNAcentral also lists the same sequence under 6 other names.